AUGGGGGAGUCCAGCGCGCUUCAGUCCAUCCUCUACGACCGCGGCGCGCUUCGCCUCCUCGAUCAGGUCCCGCCCUCUGCUUCCCAUGCGCCUUCUCUUGAUUCGAAGUGGUGUCCAGUUCUUCCGUUGCUGAUUGGGGUCUUGGUUUCUGGUUUCGAUGUGAUGCAGAGGAAGCUGCCCCUCGAGGAGGUCUACAUCGAUGUCAAGGACUCCGCGGAUGGAUGGAAUGCGAUCAGAGACAUGGUUGUUCGUGGUGCUCCUGCCAUAGCCAUAGCGGCAGCACUAUCAUUGGCUGUGGAAGUUAAUGAUCACGAUUUCACUGGUACACCUGUGGAAGCAGCCUCAUUCGUUUCCAAGAAGUUGGAAUACCUUGUAUCCAGCCGGCCCACAGCAGUGAACCUGUCUGAUGCUGCUACAAAGCUUCAGAACUUAGUGUCAAGAACAGCUGAAACAGCAAAAGAUGCCAAAUCUAUCUUUCAGGUCUUUAUUGAAGCUGCAGAGGCUAUGCUAGUUGAUGAUGUGGCCGAUAAUAAGGCAAUUGGCUUGCAUGGAGCUGAAUUCCUUCAACGCCAGCUUGGAAGUUCGAGAAACAUCUCUGUUCUAACCCAUUGUAAUACUGGCAGCCUUGCAACUGCUGGUUACGGAACUGCCCUAGGGGUCAUUCGUGCUCUUCACUCUGGAGGAGUUUUGGAGAAGGCCUUCUGCACUGAAACUCGUCCAUUUAACCAGGGUUCCAGGCUUACAGCCUUCGAGUUAGUUCAUGACAAAAUACCUGCGACGCUGAUAGCAGACUCUGCUGCAGCUGCACUUAUGAAUAAUGGACAAGUUCAAGCUGUAAUUGUGGGUGCUGAUCGUAUAGCUGCAAAUGGUGACACAGCCAACAAGAUUGGCACAUACAACCUCUCGAUUUCUGCAAAGCAUCACGGCGUGCAGUUUUACGUGGCCGCACCAGUAACUUCGAUUGAUCUCUCCCUCCCGUCUGGGAAGCAAAUCGUCAUAGAAGAAAGAUCUCCAAAGGAAUUGUUGAACUCUGAAGGUGGUCUAGGAAAGCAAGUUGCCGCGUCAGGUAUAUCAGUCUGGAACCCCGCCUUCGACGUUACUCCAGCAAAUCUAAUUACUGCAAUCAUUACAGAAAAGGGUGUGAUCACAAAGUCUGGUCCUAAUGGAAGUUUCGACAUCAAAGGUUUCAUCGAGCGUGCCAAGUGA
This 1206-nucleotide ribosomal RNA is filed under the name Triticum aestivum (bread wheat). RNAcentral's name for it is "partial small subunit ribosomal RNA". Lineage: Eukaryota; Viridiplantae; Streptophyta; Magnoliopsida; Poales; Poaceae. The record is from RNAcentral.